RNAcentral lists this ribosomal RNA (473 nucleotides) under uncultured organism. RNAcentral describes it as "partial 16S ribosomal RNA". It matches the Rfam family "Bacterial small subunit ribosomal RNA", at positions 335 to 799 of the family's 1533-position model. The record is from RNAcentral.
ACUCCUACGGGAGGCAGCAGUGGGGAAUUUUGGACAAUGGGCGAAAGCCUGAUCCAGCAAUGCCGCGUGCAGGAUGAAGGCCUUCGGGUUGUAAACUGCUUUUGUACGGAACGAAAAAGCUCCUUCUAAUACAGGGGGCCCAUGACGGUACCGUAAGAAUAAGCACCGGCUAACUACGUGCCAGCAGCCGCGGUAAUACGUAGGGUGCGAGCGUUAAUCGGAAUUACUGGGCGUAAAGCGUGCGCAGGCGGUUAUGUAAGACAGAUGUGAAAUCCCCGGGCUCAACCUGGGAACUGCAUUUGUGACUGCAUGGCUAGAGUACGGUAGAGGGGGAUGGAAUUCCGCGUGUAGCAGUGAAAUGCGUAGAUAUGCGGAGGAACACCGAUGGCGAAGGCAAUCCCCUGGACCUGUACUGACGCUCAUGCACGAAAGCGUGGGGAGCAAACAGGAUUAGAUACCCGAGUAGUCCCAUA